CAUGCAGCGGAUAUAUGGCACCCGAAUUUUUUGGAUGAAAAAUAACAUUCAAGUCAGACAUAUACAGUUUGGGUGUUAUAAUCAUAGAGAUACUAACAGGCCGAUUUGUUCAGUGUUCGCAGGAAGCCGUGGUCGCGUUCCAAGGAGGAGGUUGAUGAGCAGCUGAGGAUACUUGGCUUUCACCAGCAGCACGACUCCGAGGACGCCGAACCCUCCGACGGGUACACUGUCACGUAUCCUGGUGCGUCCUCCAGCUUGUACCAAGGACAGGAUCCUCCUUCAUCAUAUUACGGAGGUGCCACCUCAUGGGCACCGUGGGAUUGAUCUCCACUUAGGCCAAAAGCCUAAGUUUGGGGGGAGGUAUGCCGGCAUCACUCAUUCAUUGCAUACUACAAUUGCCGGUCAUUUGUAUAUACUUGUUUCGCUUCUUUUGGUUGUUUCUCUUUCGGUUAUUUUUAUUUCAGUAGGUUCUUAUUUUAGUUUUUGAAGGUUGUUACUACUGUAGUAACCUUUACCUUUACAUUUUUAUUUCAUUUGUGUGCCGAUAGUUGCCUCUAAUAUGAGGAAGAUGAUAUUUGGGGAAGUGUUGUCUAAAAAACAGAUUCUGGACUGAUACUAAAAAAAUUCCUAAAAAUAGCCAGAAAGUUAUUUUGAGCAGCCAAUUUUUGUACAUGUUCCCCAGGUUAUCAUCUAACUUUCAUUAGUUGAGCACUUUUCGAGUUGAACAGCAGAAGAUUUUCGAAAAAAAUGAUUACUGUACUGCUGUCAAGUUUGACGGAUUUCUGCCACCUUGUGUUUGUGUGACUCUUUUAGUUUUCAUUCUCUUGUUUUUGUUUUGUUUCUUUCCUAAAACACAAAAAGACCAAAAAUAUUUUUGUUGUUUCUCUUUACCAUUUGUUUAUUUGGUUUCUUGUUCCUAUUUUGCUAUAUUUACUAUCGUUGGUUUGCUAUGAGAAAAUCUAAAAAGAUUAUACUUUCGCUCUUAUUUCCAAUUCUAAAACACCAAAAAUAUUUGUUGUUCUUCUUCGGUUUUGUAAAGUUUAUUAUGGAGUUCAGGGGUCUCCGGUGGUUGGAGCUUGGUUUUCAUUUCAUAUUAUUCAAGCCACAUAAGUGAAAGGCAAUAAUGAUGAUCUACGACAACUCGACUGUGGUGAGAGGCUGGUAUGAACUAUAUUUGUUUUCAUUUUUGUACAUAUACUCAUCCAUGUGAGCAUGCUUAGUUGGUUCAUGUGAGAUAUAUGUCAUUUAAUGAAAGUCUAGUAGUUCAUGAUCUCUCAUGUUUAGCUUCAAUUAUUAAUAAUGAGUAGCAUGCCAUAAAUAUUUGCUUGCAUUUUUUUAUUCAUAGAUAGGUUUGACAGUGUGGUAUCCUCCUCUGGAUAAUUCAUUUGAAUUGACUUGGCACAUGCUCACGCAUGCAUAUGACUGAAAAACAAAAGUCAAUUAAGCCUCAAUGAUUUACUUUGCUUCAGAGUUUUUGUAUCACUUUUAUGUCUCCGUUAAUUUUAUUUUGUCGCAAGCAUGAUUAUGACAGUUAUUGCUCUCUUGAUUGUCGCUUCCCAGUCUAUUGCUAGCCUUCACUUGUACUGAGCGGGAAUGCUGUUCGUGCUUCCAAAUCCCUGAAAACCAAGUUAUUCCAAAGUUUCCACCAUAAAUACCUAUGCAUGGCAUUUCAAACCAUUCCAAGUAAAUUUUCAUGUGCUACCUUUAAAACCUUCAAAGUACUUCUCAAUUUGUGUCAAUGUUUUAUACCUCAUGAGGAAGUAUGUGGUGUUUCAUCUUUCAAUCUUGUCAUUUACUUCUGACAGACUUUCACCAAUGGACUAGUGGCAUAUCCGUUUAUCCAAUAAUUUUUUAAAAAGAGAUGGCAACGGGGUGCCCAGCCCCAAUUAAUUAACUUUCAUUAAUAAUUCUCUUCACAUGUUUUGCCCUGAUUUAUUAGUAAGCAACUUAAUUUGCAAAUAGACACUCCUCCAUGGUAUGUGAAUGUUGGAAGGCCACCGAGGAUUCAAAUGAAUUAUCCAGAGGAGCAUGUGAAUGUUGGAAGGCCACCGAGGAUUCAAAUGACAUUGUGGUAUCCUCCUCUGGAUAAUUCAUUUGAAUUGACUUGACACUCCCCCCAACCUUGUGAAAGCAAAGGUUGGGGGGAGUGCCAUCCAUAAUGAAACUAAAAUACAUGUAUAAACUAAAGAGAAGAGGGAUGAUCUACCUUGUUGGUAGAGAUAACGUCCUUCAUGGGAGGCGCUCUUGAAAGUCUGGUUGAAAAGGUAGUUAGAGUGCCCGCUGCCAUUCGUUGACAACAACAAACACCUCUCAAAACAAUUCUACUUCUGUUUAAAAAAUGAAAAGCUCUAGCACAUGUUAAUCCCUGCUUCCCUCUGCGAAGGGUCAAUCUUUUACUUUUAUGUUGAGUCAUCAUCCUUUCUUUGAGCACUUUCUUGAGAGCAUAAUUGUCAUUCUUAGUGUAAUAUGUUUGUCCCAGAAUAUGGUUAACUGUGAUAUAACUUUGAUGCUUCUAUCUUUGAUAAUCUUUACUUCUAGUCUUUCCAUGAAAUUCAGAGGUGCCUGGGCAUUUAUGUUUUGCUGUACAAAUACGGGCAAGCAAGAUACCACUUUUAUCAUAUCUUUUUAUGAACAUUGCAAUCCUGCUGAAAGAUAUGUUUCAUAAUGCUUAUUAUUAGUUUGUUGGUAUCUUUUUCAUGAUUGAUAUAACUAUUAGAUGACUUUACUUGCAUUUAUCUUAUUAUGAAUUGCCUAAGUACUCGUCCAUAUAAUGAGAAUAUUUACAUCAUAUGAGCAAAUGUGUUCGUGAAAGUUCUUUUAUCGCACUCAGUUGUUAACUGAAUUGCUUAAGGACAAGCAAUAAGCUAAGCUUGGGGGAGUUGAUACGUCCAAAACGUAUCUACUUUCCCGGACACUUUUGCUAUUGUUUUGCCUCUAAUUUGUGUAUUUUGGAUACAACUAACACGGAUUAACGUUAUUUUCAGCAGAAUUGCCCUGGUGUCUUAUUUUUGUGCAGAAAAUCAACUUUCAGGAAAAUCCCCGGAAAUAAUUGCAAUGGGCCUAUUUUCACAGAAGACCUACGGAGCAAGAAGACGAGACGGAGGGGGGCCACGAGGGGCGCACACCACAUGGCGGCGCGGUGGGCCCCUGGGCCGCGCUGCCCUAUGGUGACGCCGCCUCGGCCAGCCCCCGACGCUCCCCUCUGGACUACUUAAAGCCCUUGAUCUAAAAACGCACGAGGGUUUCGACCAAUUUUCCAGAAGACAUCCAGAACUCCGCCGCCGUCGCGAAACCCAAUCUCGGGAUCAGAAACUCCGUUCUGGCACUCUGCCGGAACGGGGAAUUGGAGGAGAUCAUCGCCAUCAUCGCCACCGACGCCUCUCCAUCAACCAUCCAUGCUUCCCCCAUCCAUGUGUGAGUAAAUCCCUCACUGUAGGCUGAAGGGGAUGGUAGGGAUUGGAUGAGAUUGUUCAUGUAAUAGCCAUAAGAUUGUUAGGGCAUGGUGCCCAGUAUCCGUUGUUGGUACUUUUAUGAUAUUGUUGCAACUUGUUAUGCUUAAUGCUUGUCACUAGGGCCCGAGUGACAUGAUUUCAUAUCUGAACAUGUUAUUGAUUCAUGAUGAUAUUCAUUGUUUUAUGAUCUUA
Lolium perenne is the source of this 3644-nucleotide non-coding RNA. Lineage: Eukaryota; Viridiplantae; Streptophyta; Magnoliopsida; Poales; Poaceae. The record is from RefSeq and is a predicted model, not a curated record.